GGGGCUGUAGCUUAGCGAGUCAGAGCAGUUCUGUAGAGCCUGAACAGGCGCGGGUUCGAGUCCCGUCAGUCCCU
Molecule: transfer RNA, 74 nt
Filed under: Candidatus Mycosynbacter amalyticus
Lineage: Bacteria; Candidatus Saccharimonadota
Rfam family: tRNA
About the family: Transfer RNA (tRNA) molecules are approximately 80 nucleotides in length. Their secondary structure includes four short double-helical elements and three loops (D, anti-codon, and T loops). Further hydrogen bonds mediate the characteristic L-shaped molecular structure. tRNAs have two regions of fundamental functional importance: the anti-codon, which is responsible for specific mRNA codon recognition, and the 3' end, to which the tRNAs corresponding amino acid is attached (by aminoacyl-tRNA synthetases). tRNAs cope with the degeneracy of the genetic code in two manners: having more than one tRNA (with a specific anti-codon) for a particular amino acid; and 'wobble' base-pairing, i.e. permitting non-standard base-pairing at the 3rd anti-codon position.
Source: Rfam by way of RNAcentral